Molecule: non-coding RNA, 72 nt
Organism: Bos taurus (domestic cattle)
Lineage: Eukaryota; Metazoa; Chordata; Mammalia; Artiodactyla; Bovidae
Source: Rfam
UCCCUGAUAGCUCAGUUGGUAAAGAAUCUGCCUGUAAUGCAGGAGACCUGGGUUUGACCCCUGGGUUGGGAA